GUAGGUGAACCUGCGGAAGGAUCAUUAACACGUAUCCACGUAUCAAAAACCCCUCUGUGCAAACCCUCUUUGUUGAAAAAGGCUGAUUGGAGUUGUGCUCACUCGAUCUUAAUGAUGGGAGUCCCCCCUGGGGGACUCGGGAUCUAUGAGUGUUUGCAACGUUUGACAACCAGCCGCUAUUUUCCCAUCGUUAGCCCCCCCUUUUAUUUUAACCCCUUUGUACUUUUUAAUGUACUGAACCAAUUCUUCG
Molecule: unclassified non-coding RNA, 250 nt
Filed under: plant metagenome
Description: partial contains small subunit ribosomal RNA, internal transcribed spacer 1, and 5.8S ribosomal RNA
Source: RNAcentral